This is a long non-coding RNA of Camelus dromedarius (Arabian camel), 1293 nucleotides long. RefSeq lists it as uncharacterized. The record is from RefSeq and is a predicted model, not a curated record. The transcript has 5 exons. Lineage: Eukaryota; Metazoa; Chordata; Mammalia; Artiodactyla; Camelidae.
AGCCUAGAAGUGUUGUUACCGGUCCCACGGCUCAUCUCUCACUCAAGGAUAAAGUAGUCCAUGUUCUCAUGAGGGACAGAGAUUCAAAGGACUACAUUUCCUUCUUUUUUGACUGCCAGAACUCAGGCAGUUUAUCUGGAACUCCCUUUGACCUUCAAUGAAAAAUCAGUAUAGAUAUCCUCUUGAAAUAAAUACUUCUGUGGAUUCCAAGCCUGUCCAGAACACCCAAGACAUUCUUUAGCUGGCUUCUUUUUCUGUGAACACACUCCUAUGGCUGGGAACCAAAAUUUCUCUUUUCAGAUCUACAUCUCAGGCCACUUUCAGCUUAGGUUGCUCCUUGUUGUAUCUAUCAUUGAAUACAGACAGAAUCACUGAAUGUGGCAGCUUCAAGGAACCAGAGAGAUUAGGAAAUCAUAAAGAAUAAGAAAGAUGAUUUCUUGAUGCAGAAUGAAGAGACAUCAAUCAAAUAUUGCCAGACUAAACUUGAUCAGCUUUCAAAGACACUAAUAAAAAGUAUCCCAGCAGGAACUUUCUCUGUUCCUGGAGGUCAUGAACUCUACAGGAAAGCAAAGGAAAUUAUUGAAAAGGAAUAUCACCAAGUGCCCAUGAAAGGAGUGAAGGGAAAUGAGUUCCUCCAGAGAUUUCUGCAGUCCCAGGUGGCAAUAGAGAAAUCCUGCAGGCAGAUAAAGCCCUCACUGAUGGGGAGAAGCCCAUAGCAGGAGCUUCCUUCCUUUCUGUGGAACAACCCCGCUGUGUCUGGAAACAGCAAAGGGAACUGUGAUUGGAUGCCAGACAGACAGAGCCUUUUCUCUCACAUUCUGAAGUGUGGUCUUGAUGAGGAGUGGACCAGGAAUGAGAGAUCUGAUAAGGAACAGUAGCUGCUGAAACAGAAACUGCAGGAGCAGCAGCAGCAGGUGGAGGCUCAGAAGAGAAGUCUCCAGAAACACAUAGUCCAUAUGAUGGAGAAGCUGGUGGGGGAAAGAGAAAACCUGCUGAGAGAGCCAAACAAGAUAUUGGAGCAUCAGCUGAAGGUGAAUCAGGCUGUGGCAGUAGUAGAGCUUGAUAGCUUUGCCCUGGUACCUCAGGAAGGGAUGGGUGAAGGUUACAGCAAGAUCAUGCAGAGAUCAGAAGUGCAUCUACUGCUUGUGAUUUAUUAAAACCCUGAAGCCUUUGAAUCCUUCCAAAACCUUUAAAUUCGGCUCUGUAAGUAGACUUUGGAGUGUUCACGAUGAGUAUGCCCCCCCUACUCCAAGCCCUCAGAGAAUAUAAAUAGGGUUGAAUUGCCACUUAGAG